UGGGGAAUAUUGGACAAUGGGCGCAAGCCUGAUCCAGCCAUGCCGCGUGAGUGAUGAAGGCCCUAGGGUUGUAAAGCUCUUUCACCGGUGAAGAUAAUGACGGUAACCGUAGAAGAAGCCCCGGCUAACUUCGUGCCAGCACCCGCGGUAAUACGAAGGGGGCUAGCGUUGUUCGGAUUUACGGGGCGUAAAGCGCACGUAGGCGGACUUUUAAGUCAGGGGUGAAAUCCCGGGGCUCAACCCCGGAACUGCCUUUGAUACUGGAAGUCUUGAGUAUGGUAGAGGUGAGUGGAAUUCCGAGUGUAGAGGUGAAAUUCGUAGAUAUUCGGAGGAACACCAGUGGCGAAGGCGGCUCACUGGACAAUUACUGACGCUGAGGUGCGAAAGCGUGGGGAGCAAACAGG
RNAcentral lists this ribosomal RNA (404 nucleotides) under Actinomycetes bacterium. Its description in RNAcentral is "Actinobacteria bacterium partial 16S ribosomal RNA". It matches the Rfam family "Bacterial small subunit ribosomal RNA", at positions 355 to 776 of the family's 1533-position model. The record is from RNAcentral. Lineage: Bacteria; Bacillati; Actinomycetota; Actinomycetes.